RNAcentral lists this ribosomal RNA (460 nucleotides) under uncultured bacterium. RNAcentral's name for it is "partial 16S ribosomal RNA". It matches the Rfam family "Bacterial small subunit ribosomal RNA", at positions 338 to 795 of the family's 1533-position model. The record is from RNAcentral.
CCUACGGGUGGCAGCAGUGAGGAAUAUUGGUCAAUGGACGCAAGUCUGAACCAGCCAUGCCGCGUGCAGGAAGACGGCUCUAUGAGUUGUAAACUGCUUUUGUACAAGGGUAAACCUGAAUACGUGUAUUCUUCUGCAAGUACUUUACGAAUAAGGAUCGGCUAACUCCGUGCCAGCAGCCGCGGUAAUACGGAGGAUCCAAGCGUUAUCCGGAUUUAUUGGGUUUAAAGGGUGCGUAGGCGGGUUGAUAAGUUAGAGGUGAAAUGUCGGGGCUUAACUCGGGAACUGCCUCUAAUACUGUUGAGCUAGAGAGUAGAUGCGGUAGGCGGAAUGUAUGGUGUAGCGGUGAAAUGCUUAGAGAUCAUACAGAACACCGAUUGCGAAGGCAGCUUACCAAGCUAUAUCUGACGUUGAGGCACGAAAGCGUGGGGAGCAAACAGGAUUAGAUACCCGAGUAGUC